UAUCAAAAUGUUUUUAACAAUUCUCAUGAGGAUGAUGCUGACACUACACUCAAAGAAGUGAGUGAUGAUGAAGAGACUAAAUCAAAGGAAGAAGAAGAAUCCAAGAAGUCAAGUGAUAAAAGUACUUCGAAAAAGAGUGCUACAGAUCGUUUGGAUUCAAAACUCAAGAAGACAUCGGCAUCUGAAAAGAAGGCUACCCCUGCAAAAUCUAGCAGAAAAUCUUCCGGAUCAACUUCAAAACAAGGCACUAGUGGUGAUGAUAGGACUCCGGGCUCUAAAUUAAAGGGUUCUGCAUCAAAAAAACAGGAGGUUGAAAAGGAAAGCUCUAACGAUGAUGGUUUUCCACGAAAAACAAGGUUACCAGGAAGAAGCAAACUACCAAAUCACCACAAAGGUUUCCACCAAGGCUCAAGGUAAAGGCAAAAGCAACAGAAGCUAAAGUAGAGCCUAGCAGGGAAGAGAUUCAUGAUGUAGUGGUAGAUAUUCUAAAAAAAAGUGGACUUUGACACCGCAACGUUAUCGGAUAUUCUUCGACAACUGGCUACGCACUUUGAUCUGGAUUUGAUGCAUAGAAAGGCUGAGGUGAAGGAUAUUAUCACCGAAGCAAUAAAUAACAUGUUUGACGACGAUGAUGAAGAAGGGGAGGAAAGUAAAGAGAAUGCUGAUACAGGCAGCGAUGCUGAUAAAGACGGGAAUGGGGACAAUGAUGCUUAGUUCCCUCGGGGAUUUAUAUACCACCAUGUCGAACGUGUAAGAUAUCUGCGGUCAUGGUAAUUUGUAACCUUGAGGAUUUCUCUUCCAAUCGUACAGUUAUAAAAUCGUAGUUUUAGGUGACUGAUAGGUGGGCGUGCAGCGUAGGAGUUAUCAACUCUUUGGUACUAACUUAUUGCUGAUCUGGCAUCAACUUACAUAUUUUGUAGGUUUUUUGUUGUUGUGUAUCUUCUUCGUUGAAAAUUGAAAAUGUUGAAGUUGUGUAUUUGAUUUGUGUAGUCGUACUUUGAGUAGUGAAUGGUUUAGUAAAUAUGUGAA
This is a long non-coding RNA of Hibiscus syriacus, 1029 nucleotides long. RefSeq lists it as uncharacterized. The record is from RefSeq and is a predicted model, not a curated record. NCBI's taxonomy places the organism in Eukaryota, Viridiplantae, Streptophyta, Magnoliopsida, Malvales, Malvaceae. The transcript has 4 exons.